UCUGAUUUGGUUGACUCUGUUAUGGAGAUGGU
RNAcentral lists this non-coding RNA (32 nucleotides) under Mus musculus (house mouse). Lineage: Eukaryota; Metazoa; Chordata; Mammalia; Rodentia; Muridae. The record is from RNAcentral.